Molecule: small nucleolar RNA, 103 nt
Organism: Pseudophryne corroboree (corroboree frog)
Lineage: Eukaryota; Metazoa; Chordata; Amphibia; Anura; Myobatrachidae
Product: small nucleolar RNA SNORD46
Exons: 1
Source: RefSeq, a predicted model, not a curated record
AGCGUGCGUGAUGAAAACAUUGACCUUAUGUGAGGAUUGUGCGGUCAUUCUGACCUGUGUUCCUCACUAUGUUAGGAUCAGUCAUAGUUACACUGACCACGCU